RNAcentral lists this ribosomal RNA (253 nucleotides) under uncultured bacterium. RNAcentral describes it as "partial 16S ribosomal RNA". It matches the Rfam family "Bacterial small subunit ribosomal RNA", at positions 524 to 776 of the family's 1533-position model. The record is from RNAcentral.
UCCGUAGGGUGCGAUCGUUAAUCGGAAUUACUGGGCGUAAAGCGUGCGCAGGCGGUUUUGUAAGCCAGAUGUGAAAUCCCCGGGCUUAACCUGGGAAUGGCAUUUGGGACUGCAAGGCUGGAGUAUGGCAGAGGGGACUGGAAUUCCUGGUGUAGCAGUGAAAUGCGUAGAUAUCAGGAGGAAUACCGAUGGCGAAGGCAGGUCCCUGGGCUGAUACUGACGCUCAUGCACGAAAGCGUGGGGAGAAAACAGG